AGUGGAAAAGUGGAGCCUGCACCGCCCGCUCUCGGCACCCCCGGACACCGCCCCGGUCUCACGCAUGCGCAGAGGGCCGAUCCAGUUCUUUCCGGCUGGAAUGGGGAAUUUGUGAGGUCAAGGAUGCAUUCCAGGAAAGUUCUAUAAAAAUAUACCAUCAACUCCAACCUGAUAUUUGACCUAGCCAUGGAAAACCUCAUUGGCUCCUCACUGGAUCAGACCAUAAAAAUGAUCCAGGAAUGAAAAUCUAAGAUAAAUUCCCACCACUUCAAGAUGUUCUUAUACAAGUCAACAGUCUAGCAGAUCAGCCAGUCUCUUUCAUCAUCAAGCAGACAUACUCAAGAAAGAGGAAUAGUGAAGUGAAAUACACAGAAGCAUGUUCAAGUUCAUCUGUUGAAUCUGGAAUUGUGAAUAGUGACAAUAUUGAGAAAAAUACUGACUCCAAUCUGCAAACUUCAACUUCAUUUGAGCCACAUUUCAAAAAGAAAAAAAAGAAAAAUUUGAAACAUUAAGGGAAAACAGUUGGGUAAAAGAUCCAUUUGCUUUUCGAAACCCUGAAUCAAUAAUUGAGCUAAACUUGGUGCCUGAAGAAGAGAAUGAAUUAUUGCAGCUUAGUUCUUCAUAUACAUUGAAGA
This 635-nucleotide small RNA is filed under the name Pan troglodytes (chimpanzee). RNAcentral describes it as "processed transcript". The record is from RNAcentral. Lineage: Eukaryota; Metazoa; Chordata; Mammalia; Primates; Hominidae.